RNAcentral lists this ribosomal RNA (253 nucleotides) under uncultured bacterium. RNAcentral's name for it is "partial 16S ribosomal RNA". It matches the Rfam family "Bacterial small subunit ribosomal RNA", at positions 524 to 776 of the family's 1533-position model. The record is from RNAcentral.
UACGGAGGGUGCAAGCGUUAUCCGGAUUCACUGGGUUUAAAGGGUGCGUAGGUGGGUUGGUAAGUCAGUGGUGAAAUCUCCAAGCUUAACUUGGAAACUGCCAUUGAUACUAUCAGUCUUGAAUAUUGUGGAGGUUAGCGGAAUAUGUCAUGUAGCGGUGAAAUGCUUAGAUAUGACAUAGAACACCAAUUGCGAAGGCAGCUCACUACACAAUCAUUGACUCUGAGGCACGAAAGCGUGGGGAUCAAACAGG